GAUGAACGCUGGCGGCGUGCCUAAUACAUGCAAGUCGAGCGAACGGACGAGAAGCUUGCUUCUCUGAUGUUAGCGGCGGACGGGUGAGUAACACGUGGAUAACCUACCUAUAAGACUGGGAUAACUUCGGGAAACCGGAGCUAAUACCGGAUAAUAUUUUGAACCGCAUGGUUCAAAAGUGAAAGACGGUCUUGCUGUCACUUAUAGAUGGAUCCGCGCUGCAUUAGCUGGUUGGUAAGGUAACGGCUUACCAAGGCAACGAUGCAUAGCCGACCUGAGAGGGUGAUCGGCCACACUGGAACUGAGACACGGUCCAGACUCCUACGGGAGGCAGCAGUAGGGAAUCUUCCGCGAUGGGCGAAAGCCUGACGGAGCAACGCCGCGUGAGUGAUGAAGGUCUUCGGAUCGUAAAACUCUGUUAUUAGGGAAGAACAUAUGUGUAAGUAACUGUGCACAUCUUGACGGUACCUAAUCAGAAAGCCACGGCUAACUACGUG
This 497-nucleotide ribosomal RNA is filed under the name uncultured bacterium. RNAcentral describes it as "partial 16S ribosomal RNA". It matches the Rfam family "Bacterial small subunit ribosomal RNA", at positions 28 to 507 of the family's 1533-position model. The record is from RNAcentral.